UACAGAGGGGGCGAGCGUUGUUCGGAAUUACUGGGCGUAAAGGGCGCGUAGGCGGCCACCGCAAGUCGACUGUGAAAUCUCCGGGCUUAACCCGGAAAGGUCAGCCGAUACUGCGGGACUAGAGUGCAGAAGGGGCAACUGGAAUUCUCGGUGUAGCGGUGAAAUGCGUAGAUAUCGAGAGGAACACCUGCGGCGAAGGCGGGUUGCUGGGCUGACACUGACGCUGAUGCGCGAAAGCUAGGGGAGCGAACGGG
This 254-nucleotide ribosomal RNA is filed under the name uncultured bacterium. Its description in RNAcentral is "partial 16S ribosomal RNA". It matches the Rfam family "Bacterial small subunit ribosomal RNA", at positions 524 to 776 of the family's 1533-position model. The record is from RNAcentral.